This 1202-nucleotide ribosomal RNA is filed under the name Tomato big bud phytoplasma. Its description in RNAcentral is "bacterial SSU rRNA". It matches the Rfam family "Bacterial small subunit ribosomal RNA", at positions 173 to 1374 of the family's 1533-position model. The record is from RNAcentral. Lineage: Bacteria; Bacillati; Mycoplasmatota; Mollicutes; Acholeplasmatales; Acholeplasmataceae.
AUAGGAAGAUAAAAGGCAUCUUUUAUCUUUUAAAAGACCUAGUAAUAGGUAUGCUUUAGGAGGGGCUUGCGCCAUAUUAGUUAGUUGGUAGGGUAGUGGCCUACCAAGACGAUGAUGUGUAGCUGGACUGAGAGGUUGAACAGCCACAUUGGGACUGAGACACGGCCCAAACUCCUACGGGAGGCAGCAGUAGGGAAUUUUCGGCAAUGGAGGAAACUCUGACCGAGCAACGCCGCGUGAAUGACGAAGUACUUCGGUAUGUAAAGUUCUUUUAUCAAGGAAGAAAAGCAAAUGGCGAACCAUUUGUUUGCCGGUACUUGAUGAAUAAGCCCCGGCUAAUUAUGUGCCAGCAGCCGCGGUAAGACAUAAGGGGCAAGUGUUAUCCGGAAUUAUUGGGCGUAAAGGGUGCGUAGGCGGUCUAGUAAGUCAGUGGUGUAAUGGCAACGCUUAACGUUGUCCGGCUAUUGAAACUGCUAAACUUGAGUUAGAUAGAGGCGAGUGGAAUUCCAUGUGUAGCGGUAAAAUGCGUAAAUAUAUGGAGGAACACCAGAGGCGUAGGCGGCUCGCUGGGUCUUAACUGACGCUGAGGCACGAAAGCGUGGGGAGCAAACAGGAUUAGAUACCCUGGUAGUCCACGCCGUAAACGAUGGGUACUAAGUGUCGGGUUAAACCGGUACUGAAGUUAACACAUUAAGUACUCCGCCUGAGUAGUACGUACGCAAGUAUGAAACUUAAAGGAAUUGACGGGACUCCGCACAAGCGGUGGAUCAUGUUGUUUAAUUCGAAGAUACCCGAAAAACCUUACCAGGUCUUGACAUGUUUUUGCAAAAUGAUAGUAAUAUCGUGGAGGUUACCAGAAACACAGGUGGUGCAUGGUUGUCGUCAGCUCGUGUCGUGAGAUGUUAGGUUAAGUCCUAAAACGAGCGAAACCCUUAUCGUUAGUUGCCAGCACGUUAUGGUGGGGACUUUAACGAGACUGCCAAUGAUAAAUUGGAGGAAGGUGAGGAUCACGUCAAAUCAGCAUGCCCCUUAUGACCUGGGCUACAAACGUGAUACAAUGGCUGUUACAAAGGGUAGCUGAAACGCAAGUUCUUGGCCAAUCCCCAAAAACAGUCCCAGUCCGGAUUGAAGUCUGCAACUCGACUUCAUGAAGUUGGAAUCGCUAGUAAUCGCGAAUCAGCAUGUCGCGGUGAAUACGUUUA